Molecule: ribosomal RNA, 468 nt
Filed under: uncultured bacterium
Lineage: Bacteria
Description: partial 16S ribosomal RNA
Rfam family: Bacterial small subunit ribosomal RNA
Source: RNAcentral
GACGAACGCUGGCGGCGUGCUUAACACAUGCAAGUCGAACGGAAAGGCCCUGCUUUUGUGGGGUGCUCGAGUGGCGAACGGGUGAGUAACACGUGAGUAACCUGCCCUUGACUUUGGGAUAACUUCAGGAAACUGGGGCUAAUACCGGAUAGGAGCUCCUGCUGCAUGGUGGGGGUUGGAAAGUUUCGGCGGUUGGGGAUGGACUCGCGGCUUAUCAGCUUGUUGGUGGGGUAGUGGCUUACCAAGGCUUUGACGGGUAGCCGGCCUGAGAGGGUGACCGGCCACAUUGGGACUGAGAUACGGACCAGACUCCUACGGGAGGCAGCAGUGGGGAAUAUUGCACAAUGGGCGGAAGCCUGAUGCAGCAACGCCGCGUGCGGGAUGACGGCCUUCGGGUUGUAAACCGCUUUCGCCUGUGACGAAGCGUGAGUGACGGUAAUGGGUCAAGAAGCACCGGCUAACUACGUG